CCCCAGGUCAAGUGGGAUUACCCACUGAGUUUAUGCAUUAAUAAGUGGAUGAAAAGACACUGACCAGGAUUCCUCUAGCAACGGUGAGUGAACCAAGAAGAGCCUAGCUUGACAAUUAAAUGCCGUUAACAUCCAAAUUGUGGUUUGGAGAAGCAUCAUCAGUGAUAGACUAAGCCUAAGUCCAUUACAAAAGGGUGUCAAAAAGGGUGAAAGCCUCAUUGUGCCUGGACCCUAUAGCACCCUGAGACGCUAUUUGCGAGUUAGGUUGUUUAUGGAUACAGCCCUAAUUGGGUGGUAAAUUCCAUAUAAGGCUGAAUACGGGUAAGAGACCCAUAGCCAACAAGUACUAUGAGGGAAAGAUCAAAAGGAAUUUGAAAAGAGAGUCAAAGAAUGCUUGAAAUUAUCAAGAGGGAAGUCGAUAAAGGUUGGCAAUGUGCCUUAGUCAAAUAUAGAAUGGUGAGAGCCAGUCCAUCGAUCUUUUCAAUGCAUUGAUUGACAUGAGUCAUAGUGGUAGCCCAAGCUUAGGCUUUUGAUAUGCUUGAAAAGACAUUGUCACCGUAAUCAUGGAAUGCAGCACACACUAUCUCAAUAUGCCCUAACAUCAGCAUGCUCUCAUCUUGAAACACAAACUAAAGAGUUUAACAUGUAUGCAAGUCAUUGGGCUAGAAAACCUAUAAUGCAUAAGAAAGUUAAUUGGUAAGAUCCCUCAUGGGUGCACUAUCGACUGACCUUGAUCUUUUAAGAAGGGUUUGAAUGUGAGCAUACUGUCAGGACUCAAAAGAUAUUGAACUAUGCCUGAGCGGGGCAAUGCUAGAGGAAACUCUUAUAGAGGCCCAUAAUGUACUGAUGUGCAAAUUAUUCCUCUAACUUGGGUAUAGGGGCAGAAGACUAAUCAAACCAUCUAGUAACUAGUUAACUUCAAAGUUUCCCUUAGGAUAGCUAGAGCCUUUAGUGAGUUUUAUCGAGUAAAGCCAAUGAUUAGAGGCAUCGAGGGUGCAAUGCCCUUGACCUAUUCUCAAACUUUAAAUGGGUAAGAUGGCAUAGCUGAUUUAUUGAGCCAUGCCACAAAAUCAAGAGCUCCAAGUGGGCCAUUUUUGGUAAGCAGAACUAGUGAUAUAGGAUAAACUAGAAGUCAAGUUACGGUGCCUAACUACGUGCUAACCUAGAACUUAGAAAAGGUGUUGGUCAAUUAAGACUGUAGGACAGUGGUCAUGGAAGUCAAAAUUCUUUAAAGAGUGUGUAAUAACUCACUUGUCGAAUCAACUAGUCUAAAAAAUGGAUGGCACUUAAGUGCAUGACCUAUACCUGACUGUCAAGGAAAGGGCAGGCCUCGAUGAAUAGGAAGGCACAGUGGUCAUUGCAAAACCCAAGGUGCAAGCCUAGGUAGAGUGGCCAUUGAUGCAGAUCUAUUAGGUAGUAGCAAAUAUUCAAAUAAGAACUUUAAAGGCUAAAUAGGGAAAAGGUUCCUCAUGAAUGACACUUGCACAUAGGUUAGUCGAUCCAAAGAGAUAGGGCAAGCCCAUUUGAUGGCAUGUCUGAUGCGAGCCUCAAAAGGGAAUCAAGUUAAAAUUCCUAAACUUGGACACGAUGACUGAAGGUGACAUUAAGGAGUUUAGAGAUGUCGACAGGGGCCUCGAAAAGAGUUAUCAUUUUUGUUUAACAACUUAUCCACCCUGGAAUGGGUCAACUAGAAGUAAGGUCCAGUGACCAAAAAAGCACCACACGUUGCAUGGUUUCCAGUUUGCCCUUGAUGGCCUUUGAAAAUCUAGGGGACUUAGUGCAAUCCCUACCCAGUCAUGCUCAUAACCACAUCAGGUCUCCAAGGUGAACAGCCUCUGAUCGAUAGAACAAUUUAGGUAAGAAAAGUAGGCAAAAUGGUUAUAUAACUUUGGGGAAAAGGAUUGGCUCUUAAGGCUGGGCACAGGGGUCGCAGUCCCAAAUUGUUGACUACUGGUGCACUACUCGAGCUACUCCUAUGAUGAUAGUGGGUUAUCACAUGCCGACCAGGGAAUAGAUUGGGAAUAGCUCCCUUGGGGGCCUUCAUCAGGUAAUGAACAAUCAACUCAAAAUUGGUACAAAUAGGGGGAAUCUGAUUAUUUAAUUAAAACAAAGCAUUGUGAUAAUCCCUACGGAUGCUCACACAAUGUGAUUUUUGUCCAGUGCUUUGAAUGUCAAAGUGAAAAAAUUAACCAAGCACGAGUAAACGACAUGAUUAACUAUGACUCUUUUAAGGUGGCCAAAUGCCCUAUCAUUGAAUUAGUGACGCACAUGAAUGGAUUAAUGAGAUUCUCACUAUCCCUAUCUACUAUCUAAUGAAGCCACAGCUAAAGGAAUGGGUUUGGUAGAAUUAGCGGCGAAAGAAAACCUUGUUAAGCUUGACUCUAGUCUAACUUUGUGAAAUGACUUGAGAGGUGUAGGAUAAGUGGGAGCCCUAGGAUGAAAUUGAAAUACAAUUACUUUUAAUGUUAUGUUACUUAUUCCAUGAAUUGGAGAUGGGGCAUGACCCUUUCUUUUAGACCUAAACCUAGCCUCGAUCGAUCAAUCCGGGCAAAAGACAUUGUUAGGUAGGGAGUUUGGUUAUAGUGGCACAACUAUUAAAAGAUAACACAAGUGUCCUAGGAUGAGCUCAAUGAGAACAAAAAUGUCAUGUGGAACAAAAGGGUAAAAGCUCGUUUAAUUUUAAUUUCUAUUACGACUACAAACUAUGAACGUGUGGCCUAUCAAUCUUUUAGACCUUCAAAAUUUGAAACUAAAGGUGUCAGAAAAGUUACCACAUGGAUAACUAGCUAUGGUAGCCAAGCAUUCAUAGUGACAUUACUUUUGAUCCUUUUAUGUUAGCUCUUCCUAUCAUUGUGAAGCAGAAUUCACCUAGUGUUAGAGUGUUCACCCACUAAUAGGGAACAUGAGCAGGGUUUAUAUCAUCAUGAGAAAGGUUAGUUUUACCCUAUUGGUGGUAGUGUCACAAUAGUAAUUCAACCUAAUACAAAAUGAACUAUUGAUUCACAUAAUUGGUCAUCAAACUUUGUUGAAAAGUUAAAGGUUGAAGCUACCAUGCAUUGGAUUAUGACUGAAUGCCUCUAAGCUAGAAUUUGGGCUAGAAGCAACGUAAAGGUUUUUCACCUAAUUUUUGACCCACUGAUGUGUCAUAGGUGUAACUUCAGCAAUAGACAAGCCACACAAGCCUUUGUGAAGCUCAAUUCCCACCGUGUGGUAGGUAGAAUC
Molecule: ribosomal RNA, 3222 nt
Filed under: Durio zibethinus
Lineage: Eukaryota; Viridiplantae; Streptophyta; Magnoliopsida; Malvales; Malvaceae
Description: eukaryotic LSU rRNA
Rfam family: Eukaryotic large subunit ribosomal RNA
Source: RNAcentral